UAAUAAAAUCAGUAAGAUUAACUGAUAUUAUCAGUAAAGCGGGGUUUACUAAAUAUGGGUAACCGAAAUUCACUCAUAUAUGGGUGAAAAAACCAUCUUGUUUUCUAAAUGGCAUUUCUCGAAUAUCUGUAACUUUUGAUCUUUUAAAUAUGUUCGAAAGCACAUAUUCAUGCAGGAAACAAAACUCGGCGUCCAUUGCGGUAACCACCGGAUCCCUAUCAGCGAGGUGGAAGUGCAAGCGGAAGCAGUCCAGAGCUGACAUCUUUUCCAACUACCGUACCGUGUCAGAACCAAAAGCUCGAGAAUAACAUGAAACUAAAAACCAAAGCCCGGCGGAACCAUAUCAAAGAUAUCACGGAGACCGAAAAAACCCUCUUGCCACUUGUUCCACCUCCGCUAGGUCUUGAGGAUAUUGUGUCGAAAGACUGUGGGAUUAUUUGGAUACCAGUUGACCGCUGCAUCAGGAAGCACUUGACUUCACCAAUCGUGGAGUGGCAUAGGACCUUGGAUAGGAGUAUGAUUUCUGUAUUCCAAAAGUGCUACAAUUAUCAUCUGAAGCACUAUCAGUUCCGGGUCGGUACCGGUUGAAUCCAGAUAGCAGAUUUUGAUUCAGAAGGUCUUUAUGGAUUCUAAUAACAAAGCCUUGUAGGGCAAUUAUAUAUAUAAGUUAAAUCACGGGGAUUCGAACAUGAGUUUUUAAAAAAAGAACGUCUACUCUAAAUCACUGUUAAACCAAGAAUGAUAAUUAUAUUCAAUUCUACUUAGAGCUAACCUAUGUAACUGAAUACUAGCUGACCUACACUUUCCGAAGCCUGUCCAAGGGUCGAUCACUGUUGUCGUCGUUGUCCGGAUGUUAUUUUGUUGAUGCCGCAGUUUAUCGUCAAAAGGUAAAUGUGCUGUAGGCUGUUAUGCGUUUGCC
Molecule: long non-coding RNA, 919 nt
Organism: Armigeres subalbatus
Lineage: Eukaryota; Metazoa; Arthropoda; Insecta; Diptera; Culicidae
Exons: 3
Source: RefSeq, a predicted model, not a curated record